RNAcentral lists this ribosomal RNA (506 nucleotides) under uncultured bacterium. Its description in RNAcentral is "partial 16S ribosomal RNA". It matches the Rfam family "Bacterial small subunit ribosomal RNA", at positions 30 to 523 of the family's 1533-position model. The record is from RNAcentral.
AUUGAACGCUGGCGGCAGGCCUAACACAUGCAAGUCGAACGGUAACGGGAAACAGCUUGCUGUUUCGCUGACGAGUGGCGGACGGGUGAGUAAUGUCUGGGAAACUGCCUGAUGGAGGGGGAUAACUACUGGAAACGGUAGCUAAUACCGCAUAACGUCGCAAGACCAAAGAGGGGGACCUUCGGGCCUCUUGCCAUCGGAUGUGCCCAGAUGGGAUUAGCUAGUAGGUGGGGUAACGGCUCACCUAGGCGACGAUCCCUUGCUGGUCUGAGAGGAUGAACAGCCACGCUGGAACCGGGACACGGUCCAGACUCCUACGGGAGGCAGCAGUGGGGAAUAUUGCACAAUGGGCGCAAGCCUGAUGCAGCCAUGCCGCGUGUAUGAAGAAGGCCUUCGGGUUGUAAAGUACUUUCAGCGGGGAGGAAGGGAGUAAAGUUAAUACCUUUGCUCAUUGACGUUACCCGCAGAAGAAGCACCGGCUAACUCCGUGCCAGCAGCCGCAGUAA